CACAUGUGCGGCUGCAGGAUGUUUGGCUGGAUUCCUUCCCAGCCACCCUGUAGGGGAUUUGCAGACAGUGUAAGAUGGAGAGCUGGGAGUUACUCUGAGUUCUUGGAGCAACCUAACGCUAGGAUGGAGAAGUCAGGGUGACCUUCCGGUAUUGUAGAUGCGCACGAUUCACGGUCCAGGAUUAGUUUAUGGAGUUGAGGACACCAACAAUAAAACAGGUUAAGUCAAACAAGUUUGCAGACUCCUGAUCUACGUGAUGAUUACAGAGACCUGGACUAAUUAAGGAGUUAGCAAUAAGAGAGAAAGAAGAACCAGUUAUGAGGACACUGAAGAAUUUUUACUUCAAGAUCCUGACAAAUGCUUAAGGGGUUGUUAAAGCACAAGUCUAUCUCAGGUAUUACAGUAAAUUUGAGUAGUUUUGCCACUGUGAGCGACAGGUACGAUACCACCCUCUUGCCUCAAAAAAGAAAAGAAAAAAGAAAAGAAGAGCCUAUUCUGAUGUUCUGAUUUGUUACAAAAUAACUAAUCUACUAUCUUUGAAAAAAAAUGCCCAUAUUUUAUCUCAAGUUUUAUGAUUUGGGGGAACAAACAAGGUACCCAGUGAACUCAAUGGUUGGGAAAGUGGAAUAAUUCAAGAUAGUGUAGACAGAAGAAAUGUUUUAGACAUUUGCUGAAGUACAGCUUCAACCAAAGUGGAAAAACUGCAGAAUUCUGAGAAAAUAAGAGCAAUGGACAUGUGUGAAUUC
Molecule: long non-coding RNA, 746 nt
Organism: Prionailurus viverrinus (fishing cat)
Lineage: Eukaryota; Metazoa; Chordata; Mammalia; Carnivora; Felidae
Exons: 3
Source: RefSeq, a predicted model, not a curated record